GGCCAGGGAGGGCACUGUAGGGAGUUAUUUUCCCCCAAGGAUGACCUGAUGGCUCACUUCUGAAUACCUUAGGGCUUAAUGUUCGCCAGGGAUGCUUCACAGGCACUUUCAUCUGGAUGACAUCCCUGUAAGCUUGUGCCAUUUUACAGGUGUGGAAAUGGAGGCUCAGAGAGAGAGACUGACUUGUUCUGGUUCCCUGCCCAGCAAGAGGAAGGUCGGGGCUCGAACUCAAGUCUGUCUCCAUGACCCCAGCGCUGCUGUGUCGUGCCGGAUUCUCCAACCCUAUCUUGGCAGUGAAGCAAGUGACAUGGAUUCUCUCCAACCACCUAAGUAUUUCGUUUUAUGAAGAGAUGAGUUUUGACCUGGUGCUGCUAUAAGCUUCCUCAGUCAGGAAGCUCUGCCUGUCCAGGAUUUCCUGUGUGUGGGAAAGAAACAGGAUGAGCAGAUUAAUCCUCCAUGGCUUUUAAAAAAAAAAGUACAUGAGGCCCUCCUUCUGGUAAGUCUGCAGGAUCCCUGGCCAAGAUGACCGCUCACUGACAUGUGUUUUG
Molecule: long non-coding RNA, 548 nt
Filed under: Fukomys damarensis (Damara mole-rat)
Lineage: Eukaryota; Metazoa; Chordata; Mammalia; Rodentia; Bathyergidae
Description: lncRNA (ENSFDAG00000029463.1)
Source: RNAcentral